CCUACGGGGUGCAGCAGUGGGGAAUAUUGCACAAUGGGCGAAAGCCUGAUGCAGCAACGCCGCGUGAAGGAAGACGGUUUUCGGAUUGUAAACUUCUGUUCUUAGUGAAGAAUAAUGACGGUAACUAAGGAGCAAGCCACGGCUAACUACGUGCCAGCAGCCGCGGUAAUACGUAGGUGGCAAGCGUUGUCCGGAUUUACUGGGUGUAAAGGGCGUGUAGGCGGGGAAGCAAGUCAGAUGUGAAAACCACGGGCUCAACCUGUGGCCUGCAUUUGAAACUGUUUUUCUUGAGUACUGGAGAGGCAGACGGAAUUCCUAGUGUAGCGGUGAAAUGCGUAGAUAUUAGGAGGAACACCAGUGGCGAAGGCGGUCUGCUGGACAGCAACUGACGCUGAGGCGCGAAAGCGUGGGGAGCAAACAGGAUUAGAUACCCGAGUAGUC
This 441-nucleotide ribosomal RNA is filed under the name uncultured bacterium. Its description in RNAcentral is "partial 16S ribosomal RNA". It matches the Rfam family "Bacterial small subunit ribosomal RNA", at positions 338 to 795 of the family's 1533-position model. The record is from RNAcentral.